UGAGUAACGCGUAUGCAACCUACCUAUCGAGAGGGGAACUAACCCGGCGAAAGUCGGACUAAUACCGACAUAAAACAGGGGCACCGCAUGGUGAUAUUUGUUAAAGAAAUUCGCUGAUAGAUGGGCAUGCGUUCCAUUAGGUAGUUGGUGAGGUAACGGCUCACCAAGCCGACGAUGGAUAGGGAACUGAGAGGUUGGUCCCCCACACUGGUACUGAGACACGGACCAGACUCCUACGGGAGGCAGCAGUGAGGAAUAUUGGUCAAUGGGCGGGAGCCUGAACCAGCCAAGUCGCGUGAAGGAAGAAGGAUCUAUGGUUCGUAAACUUCUUUUGCAGGGGAAUAAAGUGCAGGACGUGUCCUGUUUUGUAUGUACCCUGAGAAUAAGGAUCGGCUAACUCCGUGCCAGCAGCCGC
RNAcentral lists this ribosomal RNA (415 nucleotides) under uncultured bacterium. RNAcentral describes it as "bacterial SSU rRNA". It matches the Rfam family "Bacterial small subunit ribosomal RNA", at positions 107 to 518 of the family's 1533-position model. The record is from RNAcentral.